RNAcentral lists this ribosomal RNA (500 nucleotides) under uncultured bacterium. RNAcentral describes it as "partial 16S ribosomal RNA". It matches the Rfam family "Bacterial small subunit ribosomal RNA", at positions 30 to 523 of the family's 1533-position model. The record is from RNAcentral.
AUUGAACGCUGGCGGCAUGCUUUACACAUGCAAGUCGAACGGCAGCACGGACUUCGGUCUGGUGGCGAGUGGCGAACGGGUGAGUAAUACAUCGGAACGUGCCCAGUUGUGGGGGAUAACUACUCGAAAGGGUAGCUAAUACCGCAUGAGAACUGAGGUUGAAAGCAGGGGAUCGUAAGACCUUGCGCAACUGGAGCGGCCGAUGGCAGAUUAGGUAGUUGGGGGGAUAAAAGCUUACCAAGCCGACGAUCUGUAGCUGGUCUGAGAGGACGACCAGCCACACUGGGACUGAGACACGGCCCAGACUCCUACGGGAGGCAGCAGUGGGGAAUUUUGGACAAUGGGCGAAAGCCUGAUUCAGCAAUGCCGCGUGCAGGAUGAAGGCCUUCGGGUUGUAAACUGCUUUUGUACGGAACGAAAAGCUUCGGGUUAAUACCCUGGAGUCAUGACGGUACCGUAAGAAUAAGCACCGGCUAACUACGUGCCAGCAGCCGCGGUAA